AGUGAACGCUGGCGGUAGGCCUAACACAUGCAAGUCGAACGGCAGCACAGUAAGAGCUUGCUCUUACGGGUGGCGAGUGGCGGACGGGUGAGGAAUACAUCGGAAUCUACUUUUUCGUGGGGGAUAACGUAGGAAAACUUACGCUAAUACCGCAUACGACCUACGGGUGAAAGCAGGGGAUCUUCGGACCUUGCGCGAUUGAAUGAGCCGAUGUCGGAUUAGCUAGUUGGCGGGGUAAAGGCCCACCAAGGCGACGAUCCGUAGCUGGUCUGAGAGGAUGAUCAGCCACACUGGAACUGAGACACGGUCCAGACUCCUACGGGAGGCAGCAGUGGGGAAUAUUGGACAAUGGGCGCAAGCCUGAUCCAGCCAUACCGCGUGUGUGAAGAAGGCCUUCGGGUUGUAAAGCCCUUUUGUUGGGAAAGAAAAGCAGCAGGUUAAUACCCCGCUGUCCUGACGGUACCCAAAGAAUAAGCACCGGCUAACUUCGUG
Molecule: ribosomal RNA, 492 nt
Filed under: uncultured bacterium
Lineage: Bacteria
Description: partial 16S ribosomal RNA
Rfam family: Bacterial small subunit ribosomal RNA
Source: RNAcentral